Molecule: long non-coding RNA, 1122 nt
Filed under: Felis catus (domestic cat)
Lineage: Eukaryota; Metazoa; Chordata; Mammalia; Carnivora; Felidae
Description: lncRNA (ENSFCAG00000048212.1)
Source: RNAcentral
ACACGUCUUCAAAGGGGGCACGAAAGUGGAGUGUUCAGCAGACUGAAGCUAAUAUCGAAUUAAAGCCUGGGGCCGGCAGCAACUUCCUGGGAUCUUUGAGGGCCAGACAGGCACAAGAAGGGGUGAAAAUCCCUUGCGAACCGGAGGGAAACGUCCCAGAGUGGAUUCUUCCAGGUGGUGAUGUGACCAGACUUCAUAGAAAAAUUAUAUUAACAUCUGAAGUUACCAAAGCUCGUUCUCAGCUGUGUCAGGAGAGAGCCAUGUACCGGGAGAAAAGCGACCUAAUAUGGUAAUAGCCAACGUGAUACCCUCUGUAUUAUCCUGGAAUCGAAUAAAUAGAAUCCUAUCUUUUAUGUUUCGAGAGCGCUUUUAUUUUUUGAAGCCUUCGACGCCAGAGCACCUGGCCAACAUGAUCUGAUCGCUCUACCGUGUUUCCGUUAUACAAAUUCCCCUUAAGAGAGUCAAAACCUACUUCUCGCUGACAGAAACACUCAAGGACGCCUUGGUAAGAAUGCAGUUAGGUUCCUAAAUGUAAAAGUCCCCCAUCGGGAAGAGACGAUGCAACAGAGUUCCCAGGCAACCCUCCACUGUCCCCACUGGGCUCAUGGGGGGCUCUAUUUUGGAAUCUCAGGACAGUGGGGGUUCUCCGCGCCAGACUGUGCAGGCAGGCCCAGGGAAGGGAAUUAAUUACACACCAGGCGACCGCUGUCGCCUCAUAAGGACUGUAUGCUCUGUGGUUACCGAGGCUCCCUGCAUUGUGGACAACCAAAAGUAACACUAGAUCCAGAAUCCCACGACCCAGGGCCACUGAGGCAAUGACAGUGUGUCCACCUUGGGCAACAGGAUGGUCCCAGGACUUCAAGCUCCUAUUGUAAUUCUUCGCCGAAGCCUCCAACUUGUGUCUGAUUCCACUUCCAUGUUCACUGAAAGGCGCGAUCAGAUUCCCCCCCCCCCCCCAAUAACGAACAGAUUCAUGCCCACGGAUGUAAUGUAACUCUGUGCUUUUCCCUUCCUAUUUACUAGUUCUAAUUUCGUACGGCAGCGAUAAAACCAGCAUUCUGAUCCUCUUAAGCUCUAGCUUGGAAAAAUAAAUAAAUGUGAAUAAAAACGCCCCCCCCCCCC